GUCUCUUGUUCUCACACUCUUUUUGAACUUAAGUAAUUUCUUUGGAUUUAUUCUUUUUCUUUUCUUUUUGAAAAGCUUUAGGAGGAAAAGUUAUAGUGCUAGAUGGUUUUACUCUUUUUAUUAAUUGCAGUAAUUCAUAUAUAAACAUCAGUCUUGACACUAUCUCAUAUGUCUUUUAAAAGAAAAUCAGGCCCAGUGUGGUGGCUGUCGUCUGUAAUCCCAGCACUUUGGGAGGCCUGGGUGGGAGGAUGGCUUCAGCUUGGAAGAUUUUGGUAACAAAAUGAGACCGUGUCUCUACAAAAAAAAAAAAAACAAUAAAAAAAUUAGUGGGGCAUGGUGCCACGGGCCUGUAGUCCCAGCUGCUCGGGAGGCUGAAGUGGGAGGAAUGCCUGGGCCUGGGAGGACAAGGCUGCAGUGAGCUGAGAUUGCACCACUACACCCCAACCUUGGUGACAGAACAAGACCCUGUCUCCAAAAAAGGUGCAUAUCUGUCCAUAAAGUCUCUUUUAUGUGCAUUUUCUAACAAUUUCAUUUUCUUCACUCAGACGUUCUUAACCAAAGUUAAUGAUGGCUGCAUAAACAAGUCUCAUUCAAAUACAGAUAUUCAUGUAGUUCAUGUCCAAAUGUCAGGUAAAAGAGCAGCAUAUUAUAGCAACCCCAUCUUUAUUAAAAAGGAGUAUCUUCUGCAACAUUGUAUAACUUAAUGUAUCUGAUUUGGACUGUGUCCCCCCAGCCCCCAAAUUCAUAUGUUGAAACCCUGACCCUCCAUGUGAUGAUAUCAGGAGGUAAGGCCUUUGGGAGGUGAUUAGGUCAUGAGGUUGGAGCCCAUGUGACUGGGAAAUAGUAUGAUUAUAUAAGGGGCAUAAGCGCUUGCUUCCUGCCUCUGUUCUCCACUGUGUGAGGAUACAGCAAGAAGAGAGCUGACUGCAAACUAGGAAGUGGGCCCUCACCACACGCUGGAUUUGCUGGUGCCUUGAUCCACAACUGGGGGGAUGAAAUUUCGUUCCUGUUGCCCAGGCUGGAGUACAAUGGUGGGAUCUCAGCUCACUGCAACCUGUGCCUCCCAGUUUCAAGCAAAUCUUCUGCCUCAGCCUUCCAAGUAGCUGGGAUUACAGGCAUGAGCCAACAUGCCCGGCCUUCUGCAUCAUCUUUAAAGAAAGAAAAUUAUUUUUCUAUUUCUUUAAUAGAUAUAUGUUGAGUGCCUAUUAUGAGCCAAGGAUUGAAAGGGAUAUAAAUCAUUUUGAAAUUCUUGCCUGAGAGCCUAUAUUCCAAUGCAAGAGGGGAAAAAUAAAAAUUAAAGUUAAAUAUCUAAUAUUUUAUGUAGGGGUAUAUUCUAUAGAUAAAAUAAAUUAGGAAAAGUGGCAGAGAAUACUGAGAGUGUUGCAAUUUGAUUCAGGUUAGUCAGUGAAAAAUGACAGGACCCAAACUAACCCUCAUAUUUGGUGCUGGUAUAGUUAUGCUGCCAUUAUUGGGCAAAUUAAAUUAGCUCAGGGUCUCAUUAAGUGAGAGGUCUCCCUCCAAUGUAUUUUAUUUAUGUUUGGACUCUGUUUUGUACAAUACUUAAUUUAUUCCUAAGCAAUAAUUUGGCUUAGAUUAUUCAGCCUAAACAACACAAGAUUGUGAAUUUAUGUUUCUUCGUUCUAUUUUCCUUUCAGAGUAACUGUGAGCAGAGCUGCUGUAAAACACCAGAUGGAAAGGAAACAGUUCAACACCAUCUUUUCUUCAUCUGCAUUGCUGUGGCACUCAGCUUCUCACUGCACACAGGAACUUGGAAAUUCCAGGCUUCAGAUGUGGUCACAUGAAUCCUCUGCUGACUAUUACAGAUUUGCCUUCAAAUGAGCCACAGGAAUGUUUAUUUCUUAAUAAUCAACAGCAGCUUCUCUUGUAAUGUGUUUUAAUGUUUUUAGAUAUCGUCUAGUACCAUUGGUCCCAAAUUCCAGCCUUAACUGGCAGGCUGCUUUCCUUAUGGGAGUUUUCCAAUAACCAACGUUGUUUCUUACCCUUUCCAAGGACGAUGGGGAAAAGAAUCUUCUAGAGUCUUGAGAAAAGCAUGACAAUCCAGGAUUUAUUGACAUUGAAAAUACUUUUAUUGAUUUGGCCCAACUUCCCCAUCGUGCAACUUGUCACAUCAUGACACCAUCUGAAAUGAUAAACUUUGUAGAGAAUUGCCAUGGAAAGGUCUUCUCCAACCAACCUAAGCUUAGAGUCAAACUUAAGGCAAACUUUGGGAAAGAGGCCACUCCCACUCUGUGACAGAGGGUGAUACGGUUUGGCUCUAUGUCCCCACCCAAAUCUCAUCUUGUAGUUUCCAUAAUUCCCACAUGUUGGGGGAGGGACCUGGUGGGAGAUGAUUGAAUUAUGGGGGCGGAUCUUUCCCGUGCCGUUCUUGUGAUAGUGAAUGAGGCUCACGAAAUCUGCUGGUUUUAAAAACAGCUUGUGCCCUGCACAAGCUCUCUCUUUGCCUGCUGCCAUCCACUUAAGCUGUGGCUUGCUCCUCCUUGCCUUCUGCCAGGAUUGUGAGGCCUCCCUAGCCAUGUGGAAUUGUAAGUUUAAUAAACCUCAUUCUUUUGUAUAUUGUCCAGUCUCAGGUGUGUCUUUAUCAGCAGUGUGAAAACAGACUAAUACAGAGGGUGAUAAAAAUAUUACUCCUCUUUAAUAUUGCUCCCAAGGAAUUCCCUACGGUUAAAAAAUAUAUACUAAUGAGGACAAAACAUAUACUAAUGAGCAUCAUAAUAUAUGGUUAAGACUCAUCUGAUUCUCAAUGAUUUUGUUUCUGUGACUUAAAAAACAAAAAGGUACAAGGCCCAUGAAAUGAAUCACACCUCAGAGGAGGGAAGAGAAUGAAAGCUUGAUGAGGGAAGGGCUUUGUCUAAGUUGCUCACCUUAAAUAAUGUCAAACACUCAGGAGGUAUUCAAUAAAUGUUUGAUUAAUAAAUGAAAAACAGCAUGUCCUUGUUAAAUAGAUCGCAAGUCCGUAUCUUUAUAAAUUAAAGCAUUAUCCUUUCUAUGAAAAGAAAAUGGUUAUUGAAGAAAUUGAAUAAAAAGUGUAACUUGAAAAUGUUAGUGCACAAAGUAAAAUCACGUUCAAGUGUUUGGAAGGCAAGACAAAAGUCCACCUCAGAGAUAACUUCCAGACCCUAAGCAGGAGGCAUAUUUAAAUCCAAAGGUAUAUUUUUACCUCUGCUGUAUUGUUAUACUGUGCUCUUUUUUCCAUUUACUUGAUAACCAUCACACAUACAUGAACUUGAAUGUUUUUGACAUAGGAAAUGGAUUAAAUUUUUACUUUUUUAAGCAUCCUAAUUAUUUUUUUCUCUUAGAUAACAGUUGAAAAAAAUUUGUGAACAGGAUUUUAAAUCCCUGAUCAAAAGCUCUAUCAAAACUUCCCCCUAUUACCUUGAAAAAUAAAUCUGUUUUUAUUUAUAGUUCUAUACAAGGUUGGCUAUAAAAAGGAGACUUUCCAUUUGGAGAAAGCAGUAUUGUUGUGUACAUUCUACAUCCGGUACUGGUGAUUUUGGAAACACAUGGAAUGGGUGUUCAAUUGCCCUUCCUUUAUGUCUUAGGAUGUUUAUGAGACCCAUUCUUCUCCACUGUCACAUAAAGGAAGGGGCUGUGUUCUUGAAUGUCCACAGUUCCUGAUCUAAAGUGUUUGCACAUAAAGGAAAUAUAAUAAAUACCAGAUAGAAGUACUCUUUUUCUUUCUAUGCUGCAUAUAAUAGAACAUAUAUUUUUGACAAAUAUUUAUAUAAUUUAAGAACUUGAGAUGACCCUGAAAGUGCAGAAACAUUUUAGUUAAUAUAAUAAGGAUUCUUCACACCAGCAUACUGCUGAAGGAAAACUUGCUGUUCUCAAACAAAUGUAAGGAGAAUCACUGAACUGAUGAAGACUAAGUAAAAUUCCUCCUAAAAAUGAAUUUAUGGGGGUAGGUUGACUCAAUUUUUUAUCCGAACUUCAAACUGAGAAUUGUUAAUGUUCAUUUGUAAAAUUACAAUGUGAGAUUAUGAAUAUAAAAUAUAGGAUCUUAGCAUGUAACCCAUUGUUAUUAAAGUGUGUUUUACAAAUAUCGCAAUUAGAUGUAGACAUUAUGAAUUAGAUUUUUAUGUGUAUGUGUAUUAAAGUUUUUGCUAUUUAUACAUAUUACUUAUAAAAUAUAUGUGCCUUCUUAAGAAUAAGUCUUUUAAAAUGGUAAAUUAAUACUCAUUUUAGAUGGAUUUAUUGAAUUACACCUGUUGGCACUGUUUGUCUUAAUUUUGGGAUGUCUUAUGCUAUUGAAUUGUGUUAAAACUGUACUACAAUUAUAAAGGCAAUUCAAAUUGUAAAAUAGCACUUUAAAAAUAAAGCCUUUAAUAAAUAAAAUAAACUUUUAUGGAA
Symphalangus syndactylus (siamang) is the source of this 4368-nucleotide long non-coding RNA. RefSeq lists it as uncharacterized. The record is from RefSeq and is a predicted model, not a curated record. Lineage: Eukaryota; Metazoa; Chordata; Mammalia; Primates; Hylobatidae.